RNAcentral lists this ribosomal RNA (684 nucleotides) under Bacillota bacterium. RNAcentral describes it as "bacterial SSU rRNA". It matches the Rfam family "Bacterial small subunit ribosomal RNA", at positions 46 to 706 of the family's 1533-position model. Lineage: Bacteria; Bacillati; Bacillota. The record is from RNAcentral.
GCCUAAUACAUUCAAGAUACGAGCGAAUGGAUUGAGAGCUUGCUCUCAAGAAGUUAGCGGCGGACGGGUGAGUAACACGUGGGUAACCUGCCCAUAAGACUGGGAUAACUCCGGGAAACCGGGGCUAAUACCGGAUAACAUUUUGAACUGCAUGGUUCGAAAUUGAAAGGCGGCUUCGGCUGUCACUUAUGGAUGGACCCGCGUCGCAUUAGCUAGUUGGUGAGGUAACGGCUCACCAAGGCAACGAUGCGUAGCCGACCUGAGAGGGUGAUCGGCCACACUGGGACUGAGACACGGCCCAGACUCCUACGGGAGGCAGCAGUAGGGAAUCUUCCGCAAUGGACGAAAGUCUGACGGAGCAACGCCGCGUGAGUGAUGAAGGCUUUCGGGUCGUAAAACUCUGUUGUUAGGGAAGAACAAGUGCUAGUUGAAUAAGCUGGCACCUUGACGGUACCUAACCAGAAAGCCACGGCUAACUACGUGCCAGCAGCCGCGGUAAUACGUAGGUGGCAAGCGUUAUCCGGAAUUAUUGGGCGUAAAGCGCGCGCAGGUGGUUUCUUAAGUCUGAUGUGAAAGCCCACGGCUCAACCGUGGAGGGUCAUUGGGAAACUGGGAGACUUGAGUGCAGAAGAGGAAAGUGGAAUUCCAUGUGUAGCGGUGAAAAUGCGUAGAGAUAUGGGAGGA